CUAGCUGUAAACGAUGUGGACUUGGCGUUGGUGGGGUAAAAGCCAUCAGUGCCGGAGCUAACGCGGUAAGUCCACCGCCUGGGGACUACGGCCGCAAGGUUAAAACUCAAGGGAAUUGACGGGUCCCCGCACAAGCAGCGGAGCGUGUGGUUUAAUUCGAUGAUACACGAAAAACCUUACCCGGGUUUGACAUAUAAGUAGUAGGGAUCUGAAAAGUGACCGACCCUUCGGGGAGCUUAUACAGGUGC
Molecule: ribosomal RNA, 248 nt
Filed under: uncultured Leptolinea sp.
Lineage: Bacteria; Bacillati; Chloroflexota; Anaerolineae; Anaerolineales; Anaerolineaceae
Description: partial 16S ribosomal RNA
Rfam family: Bacterial small subunit ribosomal RNA
Source: RNAcentral